AGCUCAGGCACUACCGAGUGUCCAGUAACUAUGCCGAGAGAAGCAGAGCUUGUCUUGUAUACAGAUCUUUCAUUUUCAGACAGCCGAUAACUUUGAUGGCUGUCUAGGGCAGCACUGCUGCAAAUAUGAUGGUAAUUCAGAUCAGCCUUAGAAAUGUAGCAAAAUCAAAGUAACAAGGAACAGUGAACCACAGAUACUUGUAUCUACUCGCCUUCCAAGUAAUGCUGGAGCAUAGACCCGGU
Molecule: long non-coding RNA, 242 nt
Filed under: Linum usitatissimum (flax)
Lineage: Eukaryota; Viridiplantae; Streptophyta; Magnoliopsida; Malpighiales; Linaceae
Description: long non-coding RNA (LUSI_LNC000476)
Source: RNAcentral